RNAcentral lists this ribosomal RNA (485 nucleotides) under Starmerella floricola. RNAcentral describes it as "partial 18S ribosomal RNA". It matches the Rfam family "Eukaryotic large subunit ribosomal RNA", at positions 62 to 648 of the family's 3401-position model. Lineage: Eukaryota; Fungi; Ascomycota; Dipodascomycetes; Dipodascales; Trichomonascaceae. The record is from RNAcentral.
AAACCAACAGGGAUUGCCUUAGUAGCGGCGAGUGAACCGGCAAAAGCUCAGAUUUGAAAGCCUCUUUUGGCAUUGUAUUCUGAAGCCUUGGUCCUGGGACCUGGUGCUUAAGUCUUCUGGAAAGGAGCGCCAUGGAGGGUGAUAGCCCCGUGAAGCACUAACCCCAUUGUAGGAUCUUGGCAUGGAGUCGAGUUGUUUGGGAAUGCAGCUCAAAUGGGUGGUAUGCUCCAUCUAAAGCUAAAUAUCUGCGAGAGACCGAUAGCGAACAAGUACUGUGAAGGAAAGAUGAAAAGAACUUUGAAAAGAGAGUGAAAUAGUACGUGAAAUUGUUGAAAUGGAAGGAUAGGCCGCUAACCACGCAGAGUCGUGUUUAGGGGGAGGACAAAAGCUGUAUACUUCAUCAUUCUUCGGAGUGAUGUCGUUGCGGUGCCAUACUCCCACCUGGGCGCGAGGAUCUAAGACUCUGCUAAAUGGUGGUCUAUCAC